RNAcentral lists this ribosomal RNA (425 nucleotides) under uncultured bacterium. RNAcentral describes it as "partial 16S ribosomal RNA". It matches the Rfam family "Bacterial small subunit ribosomal RNA", at positions 354 to 796 of the family's 1533-position model. The record is from RNAcentral.
GUGGGGAAUCUUAGACAAUGGGGGAAACCCUGAUCUAGCCAUGCCGCGUGAGCGAUGAAGGCCUUAGGGUUGUAAAGCUCUUUCAGCUGGGAAGAUAAUGACGGUACCAGCAGAAGAAGCCCCGGCUAACUCCGUGCCAGCAGCCGCGGUAAUACGGAGGGGGCUAGCGUGGUUCGGAAUUACUGGGCGUAAAGCGCGCGUAGGCGGACCAGAAAGUUGGAGGUGAAAUCCCAGGGCUCAACCUUGGAACUGCCUUCAAAACUCCUGGUCUGGAGUUCGAGAGAGGUGAGUGGAAUUCCGAGUGUAGAGGUGAAAUUCGUAGAUAUUCGGAGGAACACCAGUGGCGAAGGCGGCUCACUGGCUCGAUACUGACGCUGAGGUGCGAAAGCGUGGGGAGCAAACAGGAUUAGAUACCCGAGUAGUCC